This 1181-nucleotide unclassified non-coding RNA is filed under the name Hevea brasiliensis (rubber tree). Lineage: Eukaryota; Viridiplantae; Streptophyta; Magnoliopsida; Malpighiales; Euphorbiaceae. The record is from RNAcentral.
UGUGGACUCUAGAGAGGGUUGAUGUAUGCAACCUCACCCCUGUUUUGUAAAGAGACUGUGUUCGUGGCUCCAACCCAUUACCUCCAUAUCACAAAUGGAGUAACUUUACUAUUACACUAAAGAGAAUACAAUCUUAUAUUCAACAACAUAUUCUGUAGUGGCAAAAAAUGGAAACCUGAACAGAUUAUUAGCCGUUAACUUAUGAGAGGUCAAAGUUAUAGAUAUAGCUGUAGUUUCUAUUUAGGAAUGGACUUAGCCAGUUCACAUUUCAAUCAGCAAAUGAUAUACUUUUCCGGUGGCAUGGUGGCCUAUUCUCAUGUGGUGUGAUUUGAAGUUAAAUCGACUCAAUGACUUUCACAUAAUGAAUGAUUUUAAUAUAUACCUCUUAUAAAGUACUAAAUAUUUUUGUUAAAUUUCAUGUAAAAGCAUUUUAUGGGUGCCUGUCUACAAUAUUUGAUUUGGGAAACAUUCCAUUUAGUUAUUCAUUAAAAAGGAAAAAGAAAAAAAAUCUGCAAUCUCCUAUGUGCUGAAAUAUGAUUUAGACACUGAUUCUAUAAUUUUAAAGCCCAGAAGACUGCAUCAGCAUUUAUGGUUCUAAUGGGAUCAGAAAUGUGGUAUGGUUGGAAUUGCUGAACAGCUGCUUAAAAGGUACAAGCCUAUUUGUUGGUGAAGGAAUUAUGAAAAGACAGUUGUCUAUAGGUUGUAAUGGUGUACAAAAAAUUUUGACAUUUGUGGUCCAAUAGAUGGUACAUGAAAAAAGGGCUGCUAGUUUGGGGCCUGUCAGCAAACUCCAAUAGGCUUUUUAGGGGAUUUUCGGCUGUAAAUUAUUUUUUUGAUGGUAUAGGGUUUCGAAGGCAGGAUUUUCAUGAUCUGAUUGGGCUUUGGAUUUGUAGUUGGUUACAUGAGUCCAGUAAUUUAACAGGAAAUAAAAAGGACAGUAAAGCGCUGUCCAAGCAAUCAAAUUAGGGACAAGGUAAUACAUCAGAGCCUCAAGCUGCUUAUGAAGAUUUUUUCUAUUGAAUUAGGUUGCACUGGCAGCUCAGUCUUCUAAAACUAGGAGGAUAGGUGGUGAAGUGGAGGAUUUAGAAUUUUGUAGGUCAAUUCAGGUUGUAUCUCUGGAGUAUUCUAGAGCCUAAGAAAAACUGACAAUAAAGUUCUAACUUAGAUGGGAGACAUUGAAU